CCAUACGGUACUAAUCCAUAACUUCGAACUUUCCAAAUUUCUUCCGUUCUCAUUGUUCGCCCCCGGUGUAACCCAUUGAAGCUGAGUGAAGAUGGUGUUAUUGUUGAUGGUGGCGGAUUCUAAACAUAAUAUUGUGAGAUCAGUAUGAUUCAAUCUUAUUCACCGGCAAUCUGUAGAUAGUGAUCGUGGCCGAUACAAUAAUCAUCCUGAGCUUAUUAGUCUCUGCACUUCUCUUUCACGCCCAAUUUUCGCCAUGUCUAGAUCUAUAAAAAUUGGGAAUAUUAGGAGAGUUGGACGACUGUUGUGCAAAAAUCAGAUUAAAGUCAAUUAAGAAUGGUCGAGCUAUGGAGCACUAGUUGGAACAGGGUUAUGUUCUCGUCAAUACAGAUUGUAUUCGCAAAAUUCUUUUCCAGCAGGAGACAUCCUGGGAAUGCAAUCAAUAGCUACUUCAAGCAUUUUUCGUCCUCAUAUGCAAGUAAUCCUGUAGCAUGUCAUCCCAAAAUUACGUGGAAGAUGUUGUCACAGAGGGCUUUGCAUAAUGGGAGAUCUUUAUUACCCAUUGUUAAGGAAUAAAUUCCACAAAUAUGGACCAACAUAUUGUUGAAUAUAGUUCAAAAAUCAAUAAAACACGCGUGGAAUGAAAAAGGGGACCGAGGCCUUGACCUAUGCCACCGUAUAGGCCAUAAAGGCGUGUGGCCGCAUGGUCAUUUGGGCCCUGUCUUUGGACAAACUAUACCGUUGCAUAGGUUUGUUCUAUGUGACCGCAUAGAACACUUUUUGCUAGUAGUUAGGACUGGUUUUUGUUUGAAUUUUGGUGGCUUUUUCGAUGAUGUCUUGAAUUUUUUCUUGAAGUUUUGGCGUCAAUGCGUGGAGUAUUGAUUGAGGCCUAUAAAUAGGUGAUCAAUCACCAAAGCAAAAGGGUUAGAAUUAUUUGAGAAAACUAUAUACCCACAAAAGAUCAUUGCACAAAAAGAUAAAAAUAUCCUUCUAUAUCAUAUUCAAAAUUUCUGGUUUUAUGUUCUUAAGUUUUGAAGGAUUUCAUUAGGGAUGCGUUUGAUUGCAAGCAUGAAAUUUGUAUGGAAAGAAAAUAAAUCAUAGGUAAUUCAAUUGCCUUGA
Molecule: long non-coding RNA, 1116 nt
Organism: Olea europaea var. sylvestris
Lineage: Eukaryota; Viridiplantae; Streptophyta; Magnoliopsida; Lamiales; Oleaceae
Exons: 3
Source: RefSeq, a predicted model, not a curated record